Molecule: transfer RNA, 85 nt
Filed under: Entomospira culicis
Lineage: Bacteria; Pseudomonadati; Spirochaetota; Spirochaetia; Spirochaetales; Spirochaetaceae
Rfam family: tRNA
About the family: Transfer RNA (tRNA) molecules are approximately 80 nucleotides in length. Their secondary structure includes four short double-helical elements and three loops (D, anti-codon, and T loops).
Source: Rfam by way of RNAcentral
GGAGAAGUGUCCGAGCGGUUUAAGGAGGCGGUCUUGAAAACCGUUGACGUGCAAGCGUCCGUGGGUUCGAAUCCCACCUUCUCCG